RNAcentral lists this transfer RNA (77 nucleotides) under Candidatus Dojkabacteria bacterium. Its description in RNAcentral is "tRNA-His". It matches the Rfam family "tRNA". Rfam says of the family: Transfer RNA (tRNA) molecules are approximately 80 nucleotides in length. Their secondary structure includes four short double-helical elements and three loops (D, anti-codon, and T loops). The record is from RNAcentral.
GUGACUGUAGCUCAGCUGGUUAGAGCGCAGCUCUGUGGAAGCUGAUGUCGCGGGUUCGAAUCCCGUCAGUCACCCCA